This 253-nucleotide ribosomal RNA is filed under the name uncultured bacterium. RNAcentral's name for it is "partial 16S ribosomal RNA". It matches the Rfam family "Bacterial small subunit ribosomal RNA", at positions 524 to 776 of the family's 1533-position model. The record is from RNAcentral.
UACGUAGGUGGCGAGCGUUGUCCGGAUUUAUUGGGCUUAAAGGGUGCGUAGGCGGCCCUAUAAGUCAGUGGUGAAAUAUCGCAGCUCAACUGUGAGGGUGCCAUUGAUACUGUAGGGCUUGAGUGAAGUUGAGGUAGGCGGAAUUGACGGUGUAGCGGUGAAAUGCUUAGAUAUCGUCAAGAACACCGAUAGUGAAGACAGCUGACCAAGCUUCAACUGACGCUGAGGCACGAAAGUGUGGGGAUCAAACAGG